Molecule: ribosomal RNA, 93 nt
Filed under: Caerostris extrusa
Lineage: Eukaryota; Metazoa; Arthropoda; Arachnida; Araneae; Araneidae
Source: RNAcentral
AUAUACCGGUUCUCGUUAGAUCACCGAAGUCAAGCAUCAUUGGGCACGGUCAGUACUUGGGUGGGUGACCACUUGGGAACACCGCGUGCCGUU